RNAcentral lists this long non-coding RNA (2136 nucleotides) under Panax ginseng (ginseng). RNAcentral describes it as "long non-coding RNA (PGIN_LNC006510)". Lineage: Eukaryota; Viridiplantae; Streptophyta; Magnoliopsida; Apiales; Araliaceae. The record is from RNAcentral.
UGGAAUUAUAUUCACUUUUUACUUCUUUUUUUCUCUUUUUAUGUUUAAUCAUACAAAAAAUCUAGGGGGAUCAGGAUUUUCCGACUAGGGUUAGUGACCGGCCGAAUUUUUUUUUAUUUUUUUUUUUAAUUUUUUUGUUUUAGACUACAAAAUAAUUAAUAUGAUUUAUUGGAACUAAAAUUUUUAUAAAAUGCAAUAAUUUGGGUGUCUUUUGAAUACACACAACAAAAAGGGUUAUACAAUCUGUACAAUCCUAUUUUUUAGGUGUAUCCAAAUGACACCUAAAUCACUGUAUUUUAUAAAAAUUUCAGUUCUAAUAAAUCACAUUAAUUAUUUUGUAGUCAAAAGCAAAACAAAAAUUAAAAAAAAUAAAAAAUAAUUCCGGCCGGUCACUACCCCGGCCGGAAAAGCCGGUCCCCCUAGAAGUACUCUUAAUCAUAUUCAUUUGGAGCAUGGGCUCGACGAUCACCAGGUAAGUUUAUCCCCCUUCUUCUCCUCCGAUCUUCUCCUCCAUUUUUCUUUCCUUCUGCGAUCUGCAAUGACGAGUCGAGCCCUUUUUAUUUUCGCCUAGCCCUAAUUUUCAAUCCGAUUUUUAGAUCCUAAUGUUAUAUUCACAUAUUUUUAUCCCAGGUAAUGUUUUUGUUGUUUGAAUUGUCAGUUUGAAUAUAUCAAAUCUGGAGAUGGACAUCGACUUUCAGACGAAAAAUAGGGUCGGGAAGCGCUUUCGUAUCUCCAAGGGGGAGGAGGUCUCCAAACAAUACCCCAUACCCUUAAAGCCCCCGACAUAAAGACCGGAGAUUGUCUGACGGAGGUGUUUCGGGUGAUAGUCAAUAGAGAAGGGCACAUAUCUGGUAAAAUCUUCUUAAAUAUUGGACCUCAACUAACAAGACUGAAGAAGAAGAAGAAGAAUAUGUUUUAAAGGGGGGCGAUCUAAUGUUGACUGGCGCCGUUCUACUGUCCCAUAAUCUUUUUCUCAUCUUUGCGGAUCUGAAUCACAAGAAUCACAAGAGGAAAAACUACUGGAGACAAAAAACUAUCGUGUAUGAGAAGUUGGGGGUGGGCAUGGAUGUGGUGAGUUCCAGAAUAGUCUAGAAAAUUGAGUUUUUUUUAAUAAAUAAUAAUUGAUAUUUGAAGUGUUUUAAUAUUUUUAAUAGUAUGUUUUUUUUUUAUGUUUAAGUUUAAAUUUAAUGAUUUCAUUGGAUUAAUAUUAAUUUCAUUGAAUUAAAAUAUUUAUUUUAAUUAUUUUUUUUCCACAUAAUUAAUGAUUUUAUUAUUUUAUUUUUUUGUGUUGCCACAUAAGAAAAUAAUAUUUUUUUGAUAUUUUUUUUCAAUGCCACGCCUGAAAAUAUUUGACGUUCCUCCAAUUUUUUGAACGGAAUGACCUGAACUUUACUUUUAAAAAACAAAGUAGGCCAAUUGCAUAUUUUUAAAGUUUAGUGGGCAAAUACUUACAAGCCGACGACCACAGUGGAGUAAAGUUACUUUUUACCGAUAAAUAUUUCUCUUCAUAAUAUAUCUUUUCAAAGAUUAAUAAUAUAAAAAAAAUUAAGUGUAGAAGAAUUUUUAGAGAAAACAAGCGUACAAAAACUUUAAAGAAAAAAUUUAAAAUUUUUAGAGUGUAUAAAUUUUUUUAGAGAUGAGAGAAUGUAUAAAAUAUUAGAGAUAAAAAGUGGAAGAAUAUAAAAAUUAAAUAUCAUAAAUAAUUUAUAUAAUUAGAUCAUAAUAAUGGUAAGCUUAAAAUUUGAAAUAUGGGGAGACUCAUAACUGUAUGGUUCCAACCCACACAAUCCAUAUUAAAAAUAGUUAAUGUUAUUUUAGUUCUUAAAUAAAACUAUAACGAAAUUUUGUUAUGAUCUACUAGCACUGAGUAUCACACACGAUACAUAUGUAAAUUACGUGGGAUAAAAUAUAAAUUCUUUAAUAUUUGAAGAAAUUAAUAAAAAGAUAAAAAUAUUAAUAUAAAAAAGAUAAAAUAAUAAUAUAAUUAUAAAGAUAAAAAUUGAAAAAAUAAAUAAUGUAACACGAUUACACCAAAUUACCAUGGUCUCUUUCGCACUGACCUAGGUGUAUUUUUUGUUGUCUGCAUUUGCUCUCUUCUCAACUGUCGGAGUUGAAGUUGAUUCUGCCGCUGCUAGA